CAGUCGCCGCGGUAAUACGAAGGGGGCUAGCGUUGUUCGGAAUUACUGGGCGUAAAGCGCACGUAGGCGGACUUUUAAGUCAGGGGUGAAAUCCCGGGGCUCAACCUCGGAACUGCCUUUGAUACUGGAAGUCUUGAGUGUAGAAGAGGUAAGUGGAAUUGCGAGUGUAGAGGUGAAAUUCGUAGAUAUUCGCAGGAACACCAGUGGCGAAGGCGGCUUACUGGUCCACAUCUGACGCUGAGGUGCGAAAGCGUGGGGAGCAAACAGGAUUAGAUACCCCCGUAGUCCCUGUCUCUUAUAC
This 301-nucleotide ribosomal RNA is filed under the name uncultured bacterium. RNAcentral describes it as "partial 16S ribosomal RNA". It matches the Rfam family "Bacterial small subunit ribosomal RNA", at positions 509 to 807 of the family's 1533-position model. The record is from RNAcentral.